CCUACGGGGGGCAGCAGUGAGGAAUAUUGGUCAAUGGGCGCGAGCCUGAACCAGCCAAGUCGCGUGAGGGAUGAAGGUUCUAUGGAUCGUAAACCUCUUUUAUAAGGGAAUAAAGUGUGGGACGUGUCCUACUUUGUAUGUAUCUUAUGAAUAAGGAUCGGCUAACAUCGUGACAGCAGCCGCGGUAAUAUGGAGGAUGCGUGCGUUAUCGGGAUUUAUUGGGUUAAAAGGGUGGGUGGGCGGAUCGUUUAGUUCGUGGUCAAAUUGAGGGGCUCAACCCCUUCCCGCCAUUGAUACUGGCGCCCGUGAGUGGAAGAGGGGGAUGCGGAAUUCGUGGUGUAGCGGUGAAAUGCUUAGAUAUCACGAAGAACCCCGGUUGCGAAGGCAGGAUGCCGGCUUCCGACUGACGCUGAGGCACGAAAGCGUGGGGAUCGAACAGGAUUAGAUACCCUAGUAGUC
RNAcentral lists this ribosomal RNA (459 nucleotides) under uncultured bacterium. RNAcentral describes it as "partial 16S ribosomal RNA". It matches the Rfam family "Bacterial small subunit ribosomal RNA", at positions 338 to 795 of the family's 1533-position model. The record is from RNAcentral.